Long non-coding RNA from Daphnia pulicaria, 680 nucleotides. RefSeq lists it as uncharacterized. The record is from RefSeq and is a predicted model, not a curated record. The transcript has 4 exons. NCBI's taxonomy places the organism in Eukaryota, Metazoa, Arthropoda, Branchiopoda, Diplostraca, Daphniidae.
AUGAAAAAUAACAGAACCUAUUCGAUCUUUCGUCGAUACAGUGGCUAAGUCGUACCACACCGAGACACUCUUCGUCUUCGUCUGCGCUUUUUUGUCAAGCUUGACAAGUGGCCAACAUCAAAAUCACUUGCCGCAAACGAAAGACGACACUAAUCUUCGUUUAGAAUACGAAACUUUGAAAACUCGAUUCGAGAGCAUCGAGAUUCAAUUUGACCGGCUGAGAGAGGAAGUCCGACUGCUAAAAACAAAGGCUAGCGAAAAAGAUUUCCAUACGGGUGAUGUCGCCUCAUCUAAAGGUGGAAUUCCAAGAUCUUGUCAUGAAGCCCGAUUGGCUGACCCUUCAUUGUCCACCGGCGUUUACUGGAUCGAUCCCGACGGCCAGGGUGUUGGAGACGAUCCCAUUCAAGUAAAUUGCGACAUGUCUUCAGGAAUGACAAUUAUUGGACACGACACCGAAGCAUCGACAAACGUCGGCCAUUGCACAGAUCCCGGCUGUUAUAGGCCUACGAAACCAAUCGUGUACCAAGCAUCUCACUAAAACAGAUCACUGAUGAUCACUGUGAUUUUAGCAAAGCUUCAACCGACGCAGGAUUUGAAACGUGGAUUGGCUUUGCUGAUGUCAAGUCAUCUUCUGUUUAUUUUGAUGUACAGAGGAAUACGACUUACUCCACUAUUAACUC